AACCAUAGAAACCUGCGGAGUACCUGCGGAGGGAUCAUUAUGGUAUAUGGAAUCUCCAUUCUAUAAACCCACUCUGCGUAUCUUGUAACUGUUGCUUCCAUGGGACUUGGUUCCGCCACACCGGCUUCACGGCUGGUGAGCGCCCAUGGAAGGAGAAACAAAACUCUUCUUUGAAAUGUAGUCAGUCUGAACAAGUUUUUAUAAACGUUAAAACUUUUAACAAUGGAUCUCAGAUCGGAA
This 240-nucleotide unclassified non-coding RNA is filed under the name soil metagenome. RNAcentral describes it as "partial contains 5.8S ribosomal RNA, internal transcribed spacer 2, and large subunit ribosomal RNA". The record is from RNAcentral.